Molecule: long non-coding RNA, 249 nt
Filed under: Elaeis guineensis (African oil palm)
Lineage: Eukaryota; Viridiplantae; Streptophyta; Magnoliopsida; Arecales; Arecaceae
Description: long non-coding RNA (EGUI_LNC066386)
Source: RNAcentral
UCAGUGACACCUAGUAAUAUGUAGCGGCAACCCAUCAAAAUUGAAUAAUGAAUCUCUAUAUACAAUUAUCGUGUAGUUCGGUUCUUCUAUCGUGAGUCCCGACAAUAUGCAGGUCAAAGAUAACUCAUCAAAUCCAUUCAUCCAUCAUAUAUCAGAUUCAAUCGAUCCGAGUCCAUGUGAAAUCUUAUGAAAUUUUUUUUUCAUCAUUCACCUACCAUGGCCAUGAAUUUUAGGACUCAGUUUGAUGAA